CGUCUAUAUACGUAUAGCAUAUCAAUAAGCGGAGGAAAAGAAACUAACAUAGGAUUCCCCUCAGUAACGGCGAGUGAAGCGGGAAGAGCUCAAAUUUGAAAUCUUCAAGGGUUCUACCUUUACGAAUUGUAGUUUAAAGAAGUGUUUUCUGUUGGAGUUUCGGUAAAAGUUCUUUGGAAUAGGACAUCAUAGAGGGUGAGAAUCCCGUAUUUGACCAGUUACUUUCCAGCUGUGUGAUACACUUUCAAAGAGUCGGAUUGUUUGGGAAUGCAGUCCAAAAUGGGUGGUAAAUUUCAUCUAAAGCUAAAUAUUGGCGAGAGACCGAUAGCGAACAAGUACCGUGAGGGAAAGAUGAAAAGAACUUUGAAAAGAGAGUUAAACAGUACGUGAAAUUGUCAAAAGGGAAGCGUUUGACACCAGUGUUGUUUUCUCGAAAAUCAAUUAAAAAUGGCAGGAUUUUGUGUUGUAUUGACUUUAUCAGCUUUCUGCACUUUUUUCCUUAUCUUUUUUAAUGCACUUUUCGUUUAACAAGUCAACAUCAAUUUCUUUUGCUGUAAAAGAGUCAUUGGAAGGUGGCUUUCUUUUCGGAGAAAGUGUUUAUAGCCUUUGACUUCUGCAGUCGGAGAGAUUGAGGUCUGCAGCGUAGAUCCUUCGGGGUUAGAUAGCAUUUGUGCUAAGUUAUAAGCCUUUCAUAGACAACUUGUUGACUAUGAUCAGUCAUGUAGCUUACUCGCUUAUGCUAUUUUACCUACGCUUAGGAUGUUGAUCUGUAGUGCGUGCGC
This 782-nucleotide ribosomal RNA is filed under the name uncultured Neocallimastigales. Its description in RNAcentral is "partial large subunit ribosomal RNA". It matches the Rfam family "Eukaryotic large subunit ribosomal RNA", at positions 26 to 632 of the family's 3401-position model. Lineage: Eukaryota; Fungi; Neocallimastigomycota; Neocallimastigomycetes; Neocallimastigales. The record is from RNAcentral.